Marasmius oreades (fairy-ring Marasmius) is the source of this 79-nucleotide non-coding RNA. The record is from the annotation of a RefSeq genome assembly. NCBI's taxonomy places the organism in Eukaryota, Fungi, Basidiomycota, Agaricomycetes, Agaricales, Marasmiaceae.
AGCAGCAUGGCGCAGUGGUAGCGCGCGGGGCCCAUAUUGUAGUACCCCGAGGUCACUUGAUCGAAACAAGUUGCUGCUA